UGGGGAAUAUUGGACAAUGGGGGGAACCCUGAUCCAGCCAUGCCGCGUGUGUGAAGAAGGCCUUAUGGUUGUAAAGCACUUUAAGCGAGGAGGAGGGUACUGGUAUUAAUACUACCAGGUACUGGACGUUACUCGCAGAAUAAGCACCGGCUAACUCUGUGCCAGCAGCCGCGGUAAUACAGAGGGUGCGAGCGUUAAUCGGAUUUACUGGGCGUAAAGCGUGCGUAGGCGGCUAAUUGAGUCGGAAGUGAAAUCCCCGAGCUUAACUUGGGAAUUGCAUUCGAUACUGGUUAGCUAGAGUGUGGGAGAGGAUGGUAGAAUUCCAGGUGUAGCGGUGAAAUGCGUAGAGAUCUGGAGGAAUACCGAUGGCGAAGGCAGCCAUCUGGCCUAACACUGACGCUGAGGUACGAAAGCAUGGGGAGCAAACAGG
This 430-nucleotide ribosomal RNA is filed under the name Pseudomonadota bacterium. RNAcentral describes it as "Proteobacteria bacterium partial 16S ribosomal RNA". It matches the Rfam family "Bacterial small subunit ribosomal RNA", at positions 355 to 776 of the family's 1533-position model. The record is from RNAcentral. Lineage: Bacteria; Pseudomonadati; Pseudomonadota.